This 936-nucleotide antisense RNA is filed under the name Pan troglodytes (chimpanzee). The stretch from base 216 to 364 matches the Rfam family "NPPA antisense RNA 1 conserved region 2". Lineage: Eukaryota; Metazoa; Chordata; Mammalia; Primates; Hominidae. The record is from RNAcentral.
GAAACUGCUGCUGGGUCUGGAGAGGUGAAGACCCAUGGCCAGCUUCUGUUGUUGCCAUCUGCCAUUGCUUUUUGUUCGCUUGCUUUUGGUUUUGCAAGAAGCGCGGCCUCUGUCUCUGAUCUGCUUCAAAUCAUCAUUCCAUCAGUGAGAGAAGUGGCCGUUCCAUCAGUGGUCGCAGCCAGUUCAGCUCCUGCAUCCAUCCGCAAGUGUUCUGAGUGGAAUUUGAGGCCUCCCCAACCACCCACCAAAAAAGGAGGGUGAAAUGAAAGGAAGAAGAAAAACUCAGCAUUCUUUCCUCUGACAAAGAGUAAAACGACAAGGAAUAUCGGCCUGAAUUCUCUUCCCAAGAAGAAAGAAAUCACACCAACGCAGGCAUUUGUCUUCUGUCCAUGGUGCUGAAGUUUAUUCACUUUCAAACCACUUUCAGUAACAGAUCUGCGUUGGACACGGCAUUGUACAUGGGAUUAGCUCUGGUCUGACCUAGGAGCUGGAAUGCCAGUAAAAGGAGGAAGCUCACGGUGGUGGUGGAGAAGGAGCUCAUGCUGGCGUCGUCAAGGAGCAAUCCACUGCUUGCUGCUCUGUCUCUCCCCUCUGGUUCCUCUCUGGUUCCCCUCUCUUGGCCUAUGUCUGUCCCUGUCUCCCAGCUGCCCAGUGCCUCCUCUUUUUAUAGCCCCCCAGCUCUCCAAGCACGCAGGAGAGACAGAACCCUCCCCAUUCUGUCACUUGCAGUGAUAAAGCUGCCAAGUGAGAAGCCAGCAGGAGAUGCCCUUUUAAAGUUAUCAUCCCGCAGGGCUUGUCACAGCCCCUCUCUGCCUUGGGCAGCCCCAACAGCCCCCCAGACCCUCAGCUGCAAGAGCCGCAUUCUUACUGAUUUGACUCAAGAGGCUCCCACUUCAAAGGUGUGAGAAGAGUAAAAAAGAGUCCUUGGUUAUCUCA